CUAAGAAUAUUCCGCAAUGGGCGAAAGCCUGACGGAGCGACGCCGCGUGGAGGAUGAAGGCCUUCGGGUUGUAAACUCCUUUUCCUGGGGAAGAAUAAGGCCGGUAGUAACUGACCGGUCGAUGACGGUACCCAGGGAAUAAGCCCCGGCUAAUUACGUGCCAGCAGCCGCGGUAAUACGUAUGGGGCGAGCGUUGUUCGAAUUUACUGGGCGUAAAGGGCUUGUAGGUGGUGAGAUAAGUCGGAUGUGAAAUCCCCGGGCUUAACCCGGGAACUGCAUUCGAAACUAUCUUGCUAGAGUACCGGAGAGGGAAACGGAAUUCCUGGUGUAGGGGUGAAAUCUGUAGAUAUCAGGAAGAACACCGGUGGCGAAGGCGGUUUCCUGGCCGGAUACUGACACUGAGGAGCGAAAGCUAGGGGAGCAAACAGG
Molecule: ribosomal RNA, 429 nt
Filed under: uncultured bacterium
Lineage: Bacteria
Description: bacterial SSU rRNA
Rfam family: Bacterial small subunit ribosomal RNA
Source: RNAcentral